UCUUUGAUGACUCAAGGUUCAUAUUAGGGAAAGGAGAGUGAGGGGAAGAGGGGGCAGCCCUCGGCCCGAUCAUCCAAUUCGCUCCAACAGACAGGCAUGGUUCUGUAGUCAAAGCAACUUCGUCACUUUCGUGUACCCAUCGGGCGAAACUCUCGUCGUAGUUUGGCGACCUAAGGGGCGGACACUUUUUGUUAUCUAAAGGCGAAGACUCUGAAGUGGGCGAACACUCGGCCCAGCGGGCGAACAUGCCGGGCUCCGGCUCCGCGCACCUGCUGACACCUUUCGAAGCACUUUCUCUCUCUCUCUCUCUCUCUCUCUCUCUCUCUCUUUCUCUCCAACCCCACCAUCUCUCCAUCUCUCCCUCCCCCUCUCUUUGUAACACCCUAAAAUUUUCGAACUUUUUAAAUUGCUAUGGUUAUAAAAAUCAUUUUGGGUGUCAACCCACUUUUAACAAAAACCGGUCCUCCAAAAACAUUUACAGUUAAAACCUUGGGUAUUACCAUUAAGCAUCAUACAACCAUUGCAAAAAAAAUACGAAUUACAUCAAUACAUUAACAAGGAACUUAACAAGUUCCACUCCAUUAUCUAUCACGUGACUCCUAACUUCCAUCAAUCAUUCUCUAUCUUUAUAUAUAACUUGAGAUAUAUGACAUUAAAAUGUGAAGCAUAAGACAAAAAUGUAUCGUAAGCUACGUGGGUUUUAGACCAUAAAACAUUUCAAUCAUUUUCAAGAAAAAUUCCUUUCAUUCAUACCACAAAUCAAUUUUAUAUAUAACAUAACAUAUCAUAUCAUUAGUGUCAAGCUGGGAAGAACAAAUCAACCCACCAAGACAUCAUUUCCAAGACCAAGGUGGAAAGAACAAAAUCAAUCCACCAAGGCAUUCCAAGACCAAGGUAGAAAGAACACAAUCAAUCCACCAAGACAUCAUUUCCAUGACCAAGGUACGAAGAACAAACCAAUCCACCAAGGCAUCAUUCAUAGGACAUAUACUUCGCUACAUGGAGGUACUGCCCAAGUAGAUUCUUCUUGACAUCUUAUGAGGCAUCAUGACCGAGGUAGUUUUCAUUAUUUCUAUACUUUCUUUCCUUUUUAAUUUCUUUUUAUCUUUCACUUUCCACAUUAUCAAUACUCAUAUCAUCAUUGAAUAUAUCAUAUGUUAUUAGAGAGAUAUACUUUAAAAACAUACAUUUCACAUAUCAAACAUUGGUUCUUCCAAAAUAUUCUUUUCUUUAAAAACAUUCUUACUUUCAAGGAAUUCUUCCGAAACAUUCUUUUCAAAACAUUUAAGACUUUCAUUUUAAAACAUUUCAUAUAUCAAAGUAUUGUAUUUCUCUAUCAUAAAAUCAUCUUGCCAUGUACCCCAAAUUGGGAAAAAUCCACACGUACUCACUUAGUUCUUCGAUGUAGGUUGCUACCCUUUUUUAAGCUCCUUUUCACAAGUGACACUCCCCUUACGUACUUCAUAUAAAAUACAAAUAAAGGUCAAUCAGAAUGACCAAAAUACCCCUCGUAGUUUCUUUUACUAAUUUUUAUUGCUUUAACUCAUUCCUCAUGUAAAAAAUAUGAAUAUAGUCGAAAAUCAUGCGUAAAUCCGAGUAUGUAUGUAAAAUUUAUGAGAAGAAUGAGUUGACCAUUAACAGGGUGGAAAACGCAUCGUGUUCGUUAUGCCUUGAGGAACAUGGGCCGUGUUCACAUGAUUGCAUCAUUUCUUAACUCAUUUUUUCUCCAAAUAACACUCUACUUUGCAUGGUUCUUGAACAACCUUUUCCAAAUCACUUUGUACCCUUUGUAUAGGUUCUCAUACAUGAUUAGAAGGUGUUUUAUUAUCUAAAACACCCAACUUAAUUCAUCAAGUGCUCAUCGAACACAUUAAGAGCAUUAUGAUCUUCAAGUUGUAAAAGAAAGGUUAACUAGUACAUUUUGCACUUGAAGAUUCCAAAGUCCACAAAACUUGUUCCCAACAUGUUGAACACUCAAGAGGAUGUUUUCAAGUGCAUGAAACAAUAACUAAUCUCAUUGUAAACACCUAAUCUAACUAUGAAACCCUUAAUUCUAUUCCAUAUUCCCAAAUUGUCGUUAUGUCCACUCGUUCAAUAAAUCAAUUUAAGAAUCAAGCAACAACUCAUGUUUUGAGCUCAAUCUAUUCUAAGAGUAUCCAUUCAUGAUUAUGAAAUUCCUUUACUCAUCAAUUGAUUAACUAUAAGGGAUUAGAUUGAUUUCAUCAUAGUGUCCCCAAAUCCAUUUCCAUUUAAGCUUAUACAUGAUUCCACCAUCAUGGAUGAAUUUGAUCAUUCCCACUGGGUUUCUUGUUGUCAAAAUUCUUCAAGGUCAUUAAACUCAUAACAAAUUAACAUAUAAGUACAACAUCCCCAAAACAGGGAUUCUAGGUUCAUGGUUGACUUUUUAUCCAAUUCACCAAAACCAUUAAUGGAAUGAUUGGUUUGAGAAUGGAACCAUUGAAAUCACCCAAGGGAGGUUAGAGACCAAAAGCCUAACCCUUAUAAGAAGCUAUCAUUGAUUCCUCUUGCUUUCUCUUGGAUGCACAAAUCACCUAUUGAAUUAAACCCUAAAGGAUAAAGAAGAUGAAAUCACCAUGUAAGCUCCUCCCUUUCUAGCAAAAUACAUUCUAAUGAACGAGAGGAAGGAGAAUACAUCUUAUUUUCAAAAAGUUUACCAUUUAGUCCUUCAACUUUGCUCAAUUUGCCAAUUUCCACCAUAAACUCAUAUUUUCUGACUUCAACUUAAUUUUUGACAUAAUAAGUCCUUCUCCAUCCAUUAUAUAACUUUUGUGGUCCCUUAUACUAAUUGAUUGAACCCUUUGGUCAACUUACUUUGCCAAUUUAACACUUUUGCCCAUUUAACAUUAAAAUGAUACUAUUUUUACUUCUAACUUUCUAAACUUCAUAUCAACUAAUGAUUUGACUAUCCCUUGAUAAUUUAACUAUAUAAAUCAUUUUUUAAACUUAUUUACUUUAUUUAUUUAAGAACCAUUCUUAAAUGUUUAGGAUGCUACAAUUAUCUACCUCUUAAAAGGAUUUCAACUUCAGAAUUACUUCGUGAGUCAGCUCAUUAUGAUUUCAUCCCAUCACUAUUCAACUUCCUUCAUAUCCAUAUCAUAUUGGUCAUUUUUUCGCAAUUUAAAUCAGUCCUAAUAAUUAAUAAUCUAUCAUUAGGUGUUAUUAACCCUCCUGGACACUUUUACCCUUUUGUCCCCUUUUAAUAUUUUUAAUUAAAUACUUUAUCAGUGAUAUCAAAUAUUUUAAGACAUACAUUCGCAUCAUGUUAUAACAAGUUUUAAGUCAUGUAAGAAGCCUUAUCAUGUACCCCCAACCCAUAAGUCACCAUUUGACUAUUUCCUUGCUUAGAUAUUAUAUAUUGCCAAAGUGUACCCUUUCGUGUCCACACACGUCACCAACAUUUCAUUCUUUACUAAUUCCAUUAGUAAGUCAUUACCAUGAACUUAGCUUCAUAUAUAUCUUUUCAUCUUGCAUUUUUUACUUCCUAUAGUAUCAAAGUCCGAAACUUAACAUAUUACUUUCAACUUGGCCUGAACGCCUGCCAAAACAAGAUUUGCAUGGUCUACAUACUAUCAUCUCAUAUCGAAUACAUGCGAAAACACAUUAUAGUACACAUACCAUUUCAUUCCUAUUUCUAUAAUCAUAGAUAACCAAUUGUUAGAUAUUGUACUUAAAGUCUAAUCACUCUUCAUAACCUCUCAUUUCUAUACUUUCUUUUCUAUUGGACUUGAUCUCCAAGUUAUAAUACUGACACUUUAACUUGGAGAUAUCUAGACAGUUCAUUCGUACUAAUGAUGUCCUUGUUCUAUAUUUUCUCAUAAGAUAACUCAACCCUAUAUAUUGCUCUAAAUCUUAUACUUUUGUAACAAUAAGUACCAUGCCAUCCAGGUUCAUGUCUGCUUCCCAACCUUAUCCAUAUCCCUUUUUAUUCACUUUAGGUGAGGUGUCAAACCAAAAUAUCAUUUCUUUAGUAAACGCAUUUCUUAGGCCUAUAAGCCUAAGCAUACCAUGACAAGAAUAUCUAAAGCAUGCAGUUUUGUUUCAACUUAAUCUUUAAAAAUCUUGCUGAUUCUGAAAUAUCUUGUCACUUUCAACUUGAUUAUUCCCAGAUAUCUACCCCAUAAAAGAAAUUGGGGAAUUUCUUUUAAAGUUAAAACACAAGAUGAACAUCAUCAUGUAGCAAGACAUUUCGUUUAUUGGUAACAUCCCAAAAAUUAAAACAUAAAAAUUUCAUUUUUAGUUCCACCAUAAAUAACAUUUAAUCGUUUCAUUCAUUCAAAAGUAUAACAGAGUAAAAAUAGUUAUCAGAGUAUAAUUUCCCAAAAUCAUGUAGUGUGGAAACAUGGGUGGAUGCGUUGCGAUCAAGCUGGACCCUUCCCACUCGAACCAAGAGUACUUGAAAAACAUUUUUAACAUAAACCGUAAGUACAAAGUUUAGGCAGUUCUCCAAAAUACCGCAUACCAUACAUACCCUCAAGUUCAAGGUUUUGUAGGGUCUAUUCCCCCCGACUCUAUUUAAUCUCAUAUGCCAACUUAAGGCUAUGUCGCGUCUAGUUCACCCCCAUGUCUAUUUCACCCUGAGUCUAUUACAAUCAUAUGUGAGCACACGGCUAUACCAGGUCUAUUUCACCCCAUAUAUAUAUAUAUAUAUAUAUAUAUAUAUAUAUAUAUAUAUAUAGAGAGAGAGAGAGAGAGAGAGAGAAAACAGACACACAGACAUACAACACAUAUAAUAGGAGUCACAAAGACUACAAGCGCAUAACAUAUCCUAGUGUUCUAUAGUAUAGUGAGGAAACUCACCUCAAUCUCCUAUCAGUCAAACAGAUGCUCAGGUUGCUGAACCGGAGAAUCCCUGCGCUAAGAAAUCAAAUAAAACCCUAAUUAAUAAUUGGUCCAUAAACCAUAAUUGAGAAUCUAGUCCAUUUGUCCAACUCCCAGGAUAAAAGACCAUUUUACCCCUCUAUCAUUUGGCCCAAUAAUCGAGGCCUAAACUUCAAUGGCACUAAAACUGCAAUAGUGGCCCUAUUCCUAAAGGACACCCAAAGUGCAAUAUGCCCAAAUCCAAGAAGGCCCAAAACCUCACAAUGGCCCAAAUUCCGAAAGGCUAGUGGCCCAACAAAGCCCAAAACCCUAAUAGUCCAAAUAUGGCCCAAACCACAAAAGUCAAUGAAAGUCAACAUCUGCUAAGUAUGUCAAACAUACUCAAACCUAUGCCCGUCGUACUCAUUAUUAGCCCAGUACGCCCAGUGUACUGGUUAGUCCCCACUUCUCAAUCCAAAUGACUUAAUUCAUUAAGCCCACUACACACAUACCUCAUAUCUACUGCUAAAUGAAGUCUUAAUACAUAAAGUUGGCAACUUUACUCCUUUGCAUGUCUUAAGGGGACCCAAUACCCAUUUUUAUCCAUCUAAGUCCAUAAUAUGGAUACCAACUCUUCAUGGUUCAUCAAAACCCAUCAAGAUGACAUUAUUUUACCCUAACAACAUCAUAAAUGCUAAGAUCUAACAUUCUAAGCUUCCAAGAGUAGCUUAUACUCACAAGUAUGGCUCAAGGGACCAUAUUAAACUCAAAACAAGCCUUAAAAUAGAUCUAACACUUAGAGUCACCAAGAGCUUUAUACCUUCAAAUUCUAGCAAAGCUGAUGAAGACUUUAGAUCCUUGAGCUCUAAUCCAACCAAAGUUUCAUCACCAAGAUCUUACUUCUUCAAAGGGUACCAAAAAAUGCCAAAAGAUUACUACCAAGGCUCAAAAACACACAAGAACAAGCUAGGUUUUCAUGGGGAGUCUUUAGAGGGAAGGAGGCUAAUGAUAAGAAGGUCCAAGAGAAAGAUAAAGUGUUUAAAUAGGAUCCAAACCCUAAAAAUUAGGGUAUGUCCCAAAAGUUUGUACGCCUAGCGUAUGUCAUGUACUCCUAACGUACAUGGUUGCCUUCCGAGAUCAACAUGAGCCUUGUAUGCCCAGCGUACUCGGCUUAGCCCAAAAUCCACGUAACUUCAAACAGUCAUAACUUAUUUUUUCCAACUUUGAUUUCAACGUUCUUUAUAUCCACAUAAAGGUAAUGAGAAACUCUACAAUCCUAUCAACUCUCCUUUGCCUUAAAAAUUCUCGAGCUUAAAUCCAAAAUUCAUAAAAGGCUCGAACCACCACUUUUUACCAUUAUACCCUCAGGCUCCGAAGCGCAAACCGAACUCUUGAAUCACCUAAUCUACAUUAUCCACAUCCAAAAGGUUCUAAACCUCUCUUUCCCUAAGGCCUAAAUCCUUAUGAUACUUGAUCUUCGGGUCACAGUCCUGAAUUAUGAAACGAUUAGAAACAUAAUGUUACAACUCUUCCCCACUUAAGUUAUAUUUCUUCCUCGAAAUCAUUCACUACUAGUUCCUCUACAACACUAGUUGAUCCUGCCCGAAAUUAUUGAAUUCCAUUUUAAGACUGAAGAUUCAUCCCAUACCAACGACUGCCUCCCAAACCUACCAUGCAAACCCCAUUUUAGCAAAAUCAUUUAUACCCCCAAAAGAAUGAAUCUUAACACUCUUCCCUCGGUCAAAGAAGGAAACCCAACUACUUUUCCUGAGAACUGAAACAACUACCUUACUCUUGCCAAAUGGAAGACCUCGAAUCACAGUGAUAACCAUACAAAGUAGGAAACUUCUCAAAAACAUGAAACCAUUAAUUUAAACCACAUAAAGUAUUCCUUAGGACUGUUUAUGAUUCAUUCAUAAUACCCUCCCUUAUUCUCUAACUGGGAACACCACUCUACUAUGCAGAAGGAAUACUCAAAAUAUACCGAUAGUGAAUUUCUCCCAAUCCCCAAUCCAGAGGUUGUGCCUAACAACCUUAAAUACGCACUUGACUUCCUGACAAGUCAUCACCAAUUUGCCAAUCCCACAAACAUAAGGAUGGUCAAUCCAAGAAUUCUCACGUUGAAUCGAAAUCCCAUAUUAGCUCAUGUGUACCCCCAUCUGACAAAUCACUUGAGACAUUCACAAUGAACUUCAUGACUCAAGAUUCCAUAAUGGAUAGCUAACAUGGUAACUAGACUCCUGAUAGACAGUCCAUAAGAAAAUGGGGUUCAUAAUGCAAACACUCUGCAAGUGACUACUGGUGCACAACUAUUAUUCCCAACUAUAUUUAACAACCCACAUGAUCUAAACCCACUGGUCAUUGAGCCUCCGGACUCCCAUGAUGCACUAACUCCUAAAUAUGGCAAGAAAGUUAAUGAUCUAAGACCUAAGAGUCUUAAUGAAAUGGCUAUCAUUUCUUACCCAUAAAAAUCAUACAUCCGCUGGUUCACGAUACAUCGUGAGACCUGCAAACCACUAAAUGAUAAGCUCACGGUACUAUAUCGAUCUUGCUGCCAUCAUAUUAAUGGCUCGAUGACUCACGACCAGAACCACAGGGGCCUAAUGAUACCCAACCAUCAGUUCACCGACUUGCAGGAACCCAAUCAACAUCCCUCUCAAUGCUAAUUGAACACAACAUGGUUCAUAUUCUUCUAUAACGCACAAUUCCUCUCACAACACAGGCUGAUACCAACGUAAAACUAGACGAAAACAUGGUCGCACACAACCAGAGAAUGAGAUAUACGGUCAUACUCUUGUUCCAAUUCAAAGGCUAUAACCCAAAUGAAAACCAUGCCAAUAAUACUAACCAAGUGGCCUCAUGUUAUCUUAUUCGGUCUACUUGUACCCCUCAUGACCAUAAUCGAGGCACUACCACAAUGUACACCCCCAAAGGAAGACACAUAACCAAUGCAUGAUCCACUACAUUUUUUCAUCCUCACAACCUUACCCAAAGGGUGAAGUACCAACAAAUCAAACGAAAUGAUGAGCCUCAAUCGUUAAUAGAAACAUCCUCAUGAACGACCAAUAUAAUAUAUCACACCUUAAUUGAAACUAAACAGAUCCCAACUAUAUGCAAUAGCUCUAUAAAACUUCCACAGCCAUCAGAAAAGUUGUUAAACUCUGGUCGGGUCAAUCCAAAUACCAACCUCGCUGACCUGAAAUGCCAAAAUUAGAUUCUAUGCAGAUCCCAAGGCACACCUGAAGAAUAUCAUAAUACUGCCCCAUAAUCCGAACUUGUAACAACCAAGAACAUAUAAUAUACUUGAGCCUAUUAUGAUUAAUAACUUCAUAACCAACCACUAAGCGUACCCAUACCCAGAAACCAAAAAUGUAAAAUGUGCAAACUUUUCCAAUUGGUUGACGCAUCCAUUGAACUGUAACUGAUACAACUCUAAACUUCCGAAGAACCUAUGUUGUUGACGAAGAACGAAAAGACCAACGAUCGAGAGUGCAUUGACUACUAAUCCAUUAAUCCACUACACUACUAGAAAAAGCCAAUGAGGGACUAAACAUACCAAGCUUUGGAACUAUUUGACUGAUCACCAACUGCCCAAUCUAGACUAUAGAUAUAAUUCUAUACAACAAGCUGACAAAUCCUUUAACAACCGAUACUCAACUCAAGUGGCCCAAAUACCUCUUGACCUAUUUCUCGACACUACCGAAAGGAACCCCUAUCUACAACGAGUUCCUUAUCCAACAACUUAUUUCCGCGAUGAUAAAUCUUGCAUUCUUGAACACAUACAAUAGAUGGCAACUUGCUCUGCAUCUCCAUCUUGACCAAAUCCUGAACUAAAGUUUCACAAACCCGUACCAAAACUCCUUAUGAACCAUUCUUCUGAAACCAUAACUCGAAGAGUUCGAUGCUCCUCUAAGCAGAAUGUUCAUCCCUUCCCCACUUAGGGUAUGGACCACCACUAACUGAUGUUGCAAAUAGACUAAAACUCAAACCGGCUCACCCAGAGGCAUAACAUCCCAGACCCUUGGAAUGUAUACAACGUAAGAUGGUCUUCCAAAGAUAGACCAAUCAAACUCAAAGGUAUUCUGAAUCUUAGAUGGAGACCUCAAAAAUUUACCAAUCAAACCGCUUCUAAUCUUCAAGAAUUCCACAUAUGUGCACAAGCAAUAAUUAUGACAAUCCAUUCAUAGCACUGAUCAUUGAUCUGAAAAUGAAUGGAAUACCACACACCUCGCCUACCAAUCCCCAUCUGCCAAUUCAUUGCGAGAACUUUUCAUAAAUACAAGAGGCAUCAUCCUCAUGGUCGGGAUACAUCAAAGACAACGAAGGUUGUCGUUACCGAUUCACUUCCCCUAGUUCCUAAAACAAUCAACUAGCACCUGACUUAGCUAUAUUUGAAUAAAUCAGACCCAUGAUCUCGUCUCAAGGCAACAAUACCACAAGAAUCCUCUUGUGCAUUCCCACAAUUCCAUACUUGCCGCCAAAAACCGUACUAUCUAGCCCCAUGUUGGGUCUACACCCCAACUCUGAAAAUCACAUGACUGCUCUCUAUUUCCUCCAAACACAGAAAGAUGGAAGAACACGACCUUUGUUGAACAUAGUGACAUACCAAUCCAUCUGACAAUCAUUUAAUCUUUGGCUGCAAUCCUCGAGCCAAUCAUCACUAUCGCUUCCUUCUUGAGUUUCGCGACUCAACUAUCACUACUUUGAGUAAGGCCCUCCCGACCUCGAAAUCAACUAACUUGCAUGGUUCUGCACCAUUGAAACCCAAACAAACAUGGCCACUGAGGCCCAAACAAUCACCAAACCCAUCAUCAGCCUGAAUGAUCAUAACCGAUAAAUCGAUAAAGGCAGAAACACACUACAACGAAUCAUGGUGCCAAACCAUGCCAUCUUUCCUUAACCGGUUCCUUAGAAUCCCUAAAAUUUUCCUUAAGUCGAGUACGAAUCAUGUGCUUCCAAUAGUACGUGCCCAAUACUACCUUACAUACCUAUCCAUACUUUCCUCAUGAAUAAUCUCGAGUCAUCUAAGUAACUACUCAUGUCCAUGUCUGUCCUAUCCAUUCUCAUACACCCGUUCUCAAAUAAAUACACAUCGCUAAACAGUGGAGGCCAACCCACUACAACACAUCCUCGAAUCUCCUAGGUUCUCAAACUCACCCUACCAUCAGCUUCUGAAGAACUCCUUAUAAUGUCAAUUAACUACUUAAUGAAUAUAAUCACAUGAAACAAAACUUAGAUAAUCCUUCGAGUAAGAGACUCAUCCCUACAACGGUUGGACUCAGAAAAGAGCUGCAUAGAAGGGUCAAAUCAGUCACUCUAAGAUUAUUUAACCUAUAUAAUAGGUGACUUAACAUAUUCACUUAAUAGUCAAUUCACAUCAUCAAGAGUCCCAUAAAGUACAAAGCAAGAAACAUUCAUGUAGUAACACUCCAUGCCAUAAUCAAACAGAUGACAUCUCAAACUCACUUUCUACCAAGAAAGAUUCCAAAUCUAGUAUAAUAUCCAAUUCCUCUUAGUCGACAAGGAAACACAUCUCAGGUCAUCCAUCCAAUCAUCUAAGAUCCAUACUUGUAACACCGUAAAUUUUCAAACAAAAUUUUCAUUUUAAAAUCACAUUAAUCUCAUCAACACAUUUCACAAAUCCCCAAAAUGGCAAUUUAUCAAAAACACAUAUUCUUAAUUGUUUAAACAAAAUCCAGGAUCCUCAAACAUAACUCCGUCUCAUGUGUACAAUCAAGUCGGCACCUUCCCGUGAUCCCAAGAAGUACCUGAAACACAUAACACGGUAAGCAUGAAGCUUAGUGAGUUCCCCAAAAUACCUCAUUAUCCUCUCAUGGGUAAAUCUCAAAUAAGACCCUCUGGUCGAUGUGUUUCAAUGGAACCCUCCGGUCCCACAACUCGGGUGGACCCUCCGGUCCUAACUCAGUAAAGCUCAGAAUAAUACACAACAUAGAUCACAAAGACAUAAUGUAGAAUAUCACAAUAAUCAAUAUAAUCAUACAAGACCCUCCAGUCAUACAAGUUACCACUCAUGGUAAGUAUAGUGAGAAGACUCACCUCGUAAGCAAGCAAAUAAACCUCGUACACGAACGACCGGUCUAGCCUCCGCUUAAAACAUACGUUAAUUAUCUCUAAUUAAUAAACGACCCUCAAAGAAGCUAGGCUAAACCCUCUAUAAACUCAUAGAAGGAUAAAAUACCAUUUUACCCUUUCAUGGUCUCUAUAGUCCAUAAUUUGACUAAACCCUAAAAGUCAACAGCAGCGCAUACGCUGGGCGUACAGCCCCUUUACGCUGGGCGUACUACCUCGCCAUGCAUGUGUAACACUCUAAAAAUUACAACCAAUUUAAACUUUUCAAAAACAUCCCAAUUUCAUAAAGUUAUUACAAAAAGGUUUUCAAUACAUUUAUUAUCAGAGUAUUUACCAGAAACCAUAUCGUAAACACAUAAAACCCGAGGAGCGGUACAAUCAUGCCUUUGCCUUGCCACGAUCUCCUGAAGUACCUGAAACAUUUAAACCACAACUAUAAGCCCGAAAGCUUAGUGAGAUACCCCCAAAAUACCAACGUCAUACAAACAUAACCAUAUCAUAUAACCGAUACAGAACAUCCAUGCACUUCGGGUCUAUUGUGUGACUGGUCCGCCGCACCGGCCUACAGUCCACCUGGUCCACCCUCCGAGUCUAGCCAUAUACAUCGAGUCCACAGUGUGAUUGGUCUGCCCGCACCGGGCCUUCAAUCCACCUGGUCCACUCUCUGAGUCUACAGUAUGACUGGUCCGCCCGCACUGGGCCUUCAGUCGGCCUGGUCCACUCUCCGAGCCUCGGCACGUCUGGUCCGCCCUCGUGGGGCCUACAGCCUAUCCGGACCGCUCGUUGGGCCUUCGGGAUAACCGGUCCGCCCUGGGUAUGUUGGCCUACAGCACAAAGCAGGCCCCGCCUCAACCCAACCCCAGUCCAACAACCAUGUGCACAUAAACAUAUAAUCAUAUAACAAUCCACAUCCAAUCAAACCGAUCUAGCUGAUCACAUAACAUAACCUCAUCCUAGCAAGGAUACCGACCUAACCAGUCACUAGCAUAGCAUCAUCCUAUAUACCAGGAUACCGACCUUAACCAGGUCUAUAACAUAUACCAUCCUAACUACCAGGAUGCAAACAUAGCAAAGCAAUAACAUAACAACAAUACCCGGAUUACAAUCCGAUAAAGGGUCGACCUUGGUGCCUUAGACCCUGUUGAUAUGGUGAGGAUAACUCACCUUGCAACUGCUGAUUGAAAAGGAUAAGAUCACGCUGCUCCAACCUCCGACACAAACUCCACCACUGAUCAAUACCAAAAGACUGAGCUCAAUAAAUACCCAUAAUUACCAAAAUACCCCUGGAAGUCAACUGGUCAACUCUUGGUCAAAGUCAAAGUCCUCAGUCAAAGUCAACCCGUUGACUCGUCGAGUCCCCAUGCUCUGAAACUCCCAUAACACGACUCAACUCGCCGAGUCGCCCAAGACUCGCCAAGUUCCACAACUCUGAGUCUAACCAUACUCAACUUACUGAGUCAUCCCUUGACUCACUGAUUCACAGCUUAACCAGAAAAGGUUAGGACCUCACGACCAGACUCGCCGAGUCCAAGGCUAUCUUCAACCAACUCGCCGAGUUGUUCUUCCAACUCGCCGAGUUCCUUCCUGUCUUCAUGAAACUCACCGAGUGCACCCAUGUGACUCGCCGAGUACCACUAGCUCUUAACCCAUACAGAGGCUUUCCAAGCCAUGCAGGGUCUCAAAUCCAUAGAUCUACUCUUAUACAAGCCAUCCAUCACGUAAAGUGGCAAACUUUACGUGAAUCCAAGGAGAUCUAAGCAUAAUACACUCUUGGCUAAUGUUUGGGACUAAAAGGCUUCAUCAACAGCUCUUGAACAAAGACUCUAUGCUCUUUUGGAUCAUCACUACUCUAGAUCUGAGGUAGCAACCUCAGAUCCAACCUCCAAACUCAAGAUAGCACUAGAUAAAUUCUCAAAAAUCCCACAAAUGAUAGAUCUAGAUGGAUAACAGCUCAAGCAACGAAUCCUUACCUCCAAAGUAGACCCCAACAGAAGAAUAAGCCAAAACCUUGCAAAGCCCUUGCUCCAAGCCUCUUAAUCUUCAAGGAUUUCUUCAACAAACACUCCUUCAAGAUCCAAAUGCUCUCUAAUUCUCUCACACACGAAAAUUAGGGUUUCCGGACUUCAAGGGAGAACAAAGAGGCUGGGGAGAGGGUAUUAUGCUCUUUAUAUAGGGCUCAAUCCCUGGGAUUAGGGUUUUCUCCACUCAGCACCAACUCGCCGAGUCCAGCCACCGACUCGCCGAUUUGGCCACUUAACACGCGACCAGAAUCGCGACCCUACUCGUCGAGUCCACCCAUGGACUCACCGAGUUGACCGUUCACAUUUUCACUUUGACCCCUGAACUUGCACUCCUGAACUCGGGAUGUUACAAUUCUCCCCCACUUAAAUUAGGCUCCGUCCUCGAAGCCUGCGGCAACACAACUCUAGAAACUACUCUCACAAUGCACCACCUGGCAUUAACCAGACCAGGUUUCUCAAAACACAACCACCGAAACCCAAAACCUAACUCUUCCCCUUCGGUGUCCUAACCACCGCCUCAUCCUCUGAUAACCACACUUAUCAACCGAGUACCAUUCCAAGAUACUUCACUCGCCCCAAAUCACAACGAUCGCUUGACCCAUACAUAGCUAGACAUCCCCCAGACCUCCGGGUCAUAACCCGGUACCAAACUGCUAUCCCUUUCCUUGACUAGCAUAACUUCUAUCGAAUUCACUUCUGGGACUCAUCCCGCUUUCAAUCCGAAUCCAACUCUUUUCCUUCCGCGCUGACAAGAUAACCCAUCCUUCAGCUCCUGAGCUCUCCUCUGUAAUCACGCCCACAUGCUGAACCUGAUCCAACAUCCUUGGGCUGGAAAACCCGACACACUGACAAUACCUCUAGACAUUCCCAUGAUGAAUUACCGUUACAUACAUAACCUCCUGAUCACAACCAUACUAGGAAUCCAAGGCUCCAUCCUUGCAUCCCUUCCGAGCCUCUUUGGCUCUACAUCCUCGGAAUUCCUUCCGUGAUCUCAGCAGACAUCCAACCCGGAUGUGCUUCAUACCACUGGCGCAAACACUCUGCUCAAAACCAUAAUUAGAACACCUCAAUCAUACCCCCGCGCUACUGUUUUCACUUCCGUGAACUUACACUCCCUCUCGGAGCUACAUACCUUUCCCUUUCCUUAUCCAAGGAAAUCUACUUGGCUUCCUUGUCACUACAACAAGUGCCACGGGGUACACACUCCACUCUACACUAUUCCCUUAUAGCAUAACCGCUAUCCCAUGCACCACACAUGCUCUGAAUCUGCUCGUAAGGACUUUCGAGUCCAUGCACUACCUUCCACUAAUCAUGACCAAUACCCAGGGCCAGACCUUCUGAUGCUAUCACAUUGCAACAUACUCAUUCCAUCUCCUCAUACAGAUCUAUCAACACAUGCAGAGUCUUCAGCAUGACUGGACCGCCUUACCAGGCCUUCAGCCAAUGUGGACCACUCUCAGAACCUUCAGCAUGUCUGGACCGCCCUCCAGGGCCUUCAUCCUGUCUGGACCGUCCUCCGAGCCUUCGGCCAGACUGGUACGCCUUCCGUUUUUCAGUCUCCCCGGACUGCUCAAACUAUCAUGCAUCAUCCCGAACUAUUCCUCCUGGGAAUUCCGCCCAUACAUACGGUUCAAGCCCUCUAGGGGUUCCGAACUCUAACUCCAUUCCAUAUACUCAGAUCUCGGCCUGAUCCUAGGCAUUACAACCACCAAUCACCCUAUCCGAAAUCCUUGGUCUGUACUCCGCCCCAUCGAUCUGUCACUUACUCAUACCAGCCCACCCUCUUGGCUGACUGAAACACUGCUGGAUCCCAAACACUUGGCUGACUGAAACACUGCUGGAUCCCAAACAACUAAUCGAACUCUAACACUUAUCGAUCCUCCUGGGAAUUUUCCAAUUCUCCCCACUUAGAGCACUGACUAUCCACCACCGGUCGUCAUAACCGACCUCCCUUAACAACCCUUCAGAACACAUUCCCUUACACGCGAACUGAUUCCCACUAGAACGAGCAACCUUCACUAAAUCACAUAUCAACACUGAUCAUCUCGGACUCGAAGGAAGCCCGACCUUCUGCUAACCACUCCUCAGACUGCAGAUGCUACCCGACAUUCAGGCCAAAAUCCUGAUUUCCCACUAAUAAUCCUCACGGAUGAUAACCAACAAAACUCCCAAUACCAAAACCCUUAACUGAACCAUAACCCUCAAGGAACAAACGAAUACAAUACCCAAAUCACACAACGAGACUAGCCGAUAUAUAAUACUCCAUAAUAAUCACAAGAUAACCAAAUAUUAAGAAGGAAACAUACCUGCAACUGCAUCCAGCACUGCCCUGACCUCCUCUACUAUAAGCUGAAAAGCACGACCCUGAGCCCUCGGGGGCUCCGCUCCACCCUGACCUCCACCCGUAAUCCUCAAAGUGGCCGGUGCUGGAGCCUGCACCGGUCCUGCAGCAAGCUGUGGAUAGUAGACCCUCAAGUGCCCAACCUGAUGGCAAUGAUAGCAAAUCCUCAAAUCCUGAACCGGGGCUGUCUACCGACAAUCCCACGCAUAAUGCCCCUCCUUUCCGUACUUGUGGCAUGCACCACCGGACCUACAAACUCCAGUGUGACCCUUCCCGCACUUCCCACAAGUGCGGCUGCUCUGAUCUCCCAACCUUUAAUCAACGGUCUUGGACCGUUGCGGUGCCGGCUGCGACUGUGUCGGGGCCUGCCUCUGUUCUCUCAACUGCAACUCAAUCUCCAACUCACGCCACCGAGCGGCCUCCUGCAACUCCAGCAAGGUCUCGCACCUUUGUAUAGACACAAACUGCCUGAUAUCCCUCUUGAGCAUACUCAGAUAUCGGGACAUCUGAGCUUGCUCCGAAGCAAACUCCGGGCAAAACAUCGCCCUCUCUGUGAACAUCCUGGUGAUCUCCUUCACUGACUCUGAAUCCUGCUUCAGCUCCAGGAACUCCUGAGCCAAUCUCCCCCUCUCAACUCGCGGAACAUAGCAAGUACUGAACAUCUCCCUGAACUGAUCCCAAAAAACUGCAGCUCGCUGCGCAUCAGAAUACGAUCCCGUGGUCAACCUCCACCAAUCCUUCGCCCCGAGCCUCAAAAGGUUCAGAGCACACCUCACCCUCUGAUCAGCAGUGCAUGAACACGUGAAGAAACACCCCUCCACGUCUGACAACCAUCUCAUAGCAACAAUCGGGUCCUGAACUCCAUCGAAGGUAGGGGCUUUGUAUUAUCGAAGUUCUGAUACUAAAAACCUCUAUCGUCUCCUCCCCCUGUCGCUGCUAUAGCCGCUGUAGCCGCCGCAACAGCCGUCUCUGUAAGAGCUACAUAGCGCUCAUCAAAAUACUUGACCAUGGCAGUCUUGAUCGACCCAAAUAGUUUCGGCAACUUAGCCCGGAACAUAGCAGCAACCUCGACAUGCAGGAUCUCAUGAAUCCUGGCAUCCAGCUCGUCUGUGCUCAUCUGACCAAUAGCCUCGGGUGGUGCUGACCCACCCUGACCGCCUCCUCCUGCUCCCGAUCCUGACCCGGAUCCACUCCCAGCAUGCCUCGUAACCACCAUACUGAAAUUACCGCAAAACAUCAGACGCUUCUCACUAACCCGAGAACCGACUCUCGACCCAACCCUAGGGGUUAUGACUUCCUUGAUACGNNNNNNNNNNNNNNNNNNNCCCAUCCGCCCUUCCACACCUACCCAUAUUUAUAUCAAGUAUCACCAUAACACCCUAGUGAAGAACAGGCAUAACAAGCACUCAACCCUCACUCCUAGAGGAACACUGUAAAUCUCAUACAGAAAGAAACCCUAGGCUAGCAGGCAUCAUAAAUCAGGAACACUGUAAAUCUCAUACGAAUGUUCCUCUAAUUCACUCAAAACAAGGCUCUCAUACCAACUUGUAACACUCUAAAAAUUCCAACCAAUUUAAACUUUUCAAAAACAUCCCAAUUUCAUAAAGUUAUUACAAAAAGGUUUUCAAUACAUUUAUUAUCAGAGUAUUUCCCAGAAACCACAUCGUAAACACAUAAAACCCGAGGAGCGGUACGAUCAUGCCUUUACCUUGCCACGAUCUCCUGAAGUACCUGAAACAUUUAAACCACAACUGUAAGCCCGAAAGCUUAGUGAGAUACCCCCAAAAUACCAACGUCAUACAAACAUAACCAUAUCAUAUAACCGAUACAGAACAUCCAUGCACUUCGGGUCUAUUGUGUGACUGGUCCGCCGCACCGGCCUACAGUCCACCUGGUCCACCCUCCGAGUCUAGCCAUAUACAUCGAGUCUACAGUGUGAUUGGUCCGCCUGCACCGGGCCUUCAAUCCACCUGGUCCACUCUCUGAGUCUACAGUAUGACUGGUCCGCCCGCACCGGGCCUUCAUUCGGCCUGGUCCACUCUCCAAGCCUCGGCACUUCUGGUCCGCCCUCGUGGGGCCUACAGCCUAUCCGGACCGCUCGUUGGGCCUUCGGGAUAACCGGUCCUCCCUAGGUAUGUUGCCCUACAGCACAAAGCAGGACCCGCCUCAACCCAACCCCAGUCCAACAACCAUGUGCACAUAAACAUAUAAUCAUAUAACAAUCCACAUCCAAUCAAACCGAUCUAGCUGAUCACAUAACAUAACCUCAUCCUAGCAAGGAUACCGACCUAACCAGUCACUAGCAUAGCAUCAUCCUAUAUACCAGGAUACCGACCUUAACCAGGUCUAUAACAUAUACCAUCCUAACUACCAGGAUGCAAACAUAGCAAAGCAAUAACAUAACAACAAUACCCGGAUUACAAUCCGAUAAAGGGUCGACCUUGGUGCCUUAGACCCUGUUGAUAUGGUGAGGAUAACUCACCUUGCAACUGCUGAUUGAAAAGGAUAAGAUCACGCUGCUCCAACCUCCGACACGAACUCCACCACUGAUCAAUACCAAAAGACUGAACUCAAUAAAUACCCAUAACUACCAAAAUACCCCUGGAAGUCAAUUGGUUAACUCUUGGUCAAAGUCAAAGUCCUCAGUCAAAGUCAACCCUCCUAACUGACUCUACUCGCCAAGUCAACCCGCUGACUCAUCGAGUCCCCAUGCUCUGAAACUCCCAUAACACGACUCAACUCGCCGAGUCGCCCAAGACUCGCCGAGUCCCACAACUCUGAGUCUAACCGUACUCAACUUACUGAGUCAUCCCUUGACUCACCGAUUCACAACUUAACCAGAAAAGGUUAGGACCUCACAACCAGACUCGCCGAGUCAAAGGCUAUCUUCAACCAACUCGCCAAGUUGUUCUUCCAACUCGCCGAGUUCCUUCCUGUCUUCAUGAAACUCGCCGAGUGUACCCAUGUGACUCGCCGAGUACCACUAGCUCUUAACCCAUACAGAGGUUUUCCAAGCCAUGCAGGGUCUCAAAUCCAUAGAUCUACUCUUAUACAAGCCAUCCAUCACGUAAAGUGGCAAACUUUACGUGAAUCCAAGGAGAUCUAAGCAUAAUACACUCUUGGCUAAGGUUUGGGACUAAAAGGCUUCAUUAACAGCUCUUGAUCAGGGACUUUAUGCUCUUUUGGAUCAUCACUACUCUAGAUCUGAGGUAGCAACCUCAUAUCCAACCUCCAAACUCAAGAUAGCACUAGAUAAAUUCCUAAAAAUCCCAUAAAUGAUAGAUCUAGAUGGAUAACAGCUCAAGCAUCGAAUCCUUACCUCCAAAGAAGUCUCUAACAGAAGAAUAAGCCAAAACCUUGCAAAGCCCCUUGCUCCAAGUCUCUUAAUCUUCAAAGAUUUCUUCAACAAACACUCUUUCAAGAUCCAAAUGCUCUCUAGUUCUCUCACACACAAUAAUUAGGGUUUCUGGACUUCAAGGGAGAGCAAAGAGGCUGGGGAGAUGGUAUUAUGUUCUUUAUAUAGGGCUCAAUCCCUAGGAUUAGGGUUUUCUCCACUCAGCACCAACCCGUCGAGUCUAGCCACCGACUCGCCGAGUUGGCCACUUAACAUGCGACCAGAAUCGCAUCCCUACUCGCCGAGUCCACCCAUGGACUCGCCGAGUUGACCAUUCACAUUUUCACUUUGAACCCUGAACUUGCACUCCUAAACCCGGGAUGUUACAACAUGCAUCGGGGAUCCUCGACCGUACGCUGCGCAUACUGGGAUUACGCUUGAUGUACAUCCCAGACUUAUUCUUCCCACUCUCUUGGUCUUAAUCCGUUAAGACCAUAGCUCUAGUCUCAGAUCUGGACUCCCUAAUGGCUCAUACUCCAUAGCUGAGAAAGACCCAAACCUAAAAAACUCUCACUCUUUUCUCCCAAAAAUGCUCAUAUCUCCUGCAUGGGGUGGUUUUGACGUCCAAGACUCCAUUUUAUGAAUCCACUCCAUUAAAAACACUCAAAGGGACAGAUAUUAGGCUUUGGAGUUCAACAACUCAUAAAGCUUCAAGCUUUGGGACCAAAAACCCUAAAAUGGACCAUUAUAUGCACAAAUAAAAAAGGAUGAGAAAGCUUUGAGCUUUAUACCUUCAACUGAUGCUCCAACCACAGAAAAGCUCAGAUCCAAAGCCUAUACUCCAACUCUAUUCUCUUUAAUGCUCCUUCUUCACUCCAAGGAUACCACAAGAACACUAAGAAGCUCAUAAAUGGACACUCAAGCUCAAGGGACAAAAAUUAAGGUCUUGAGAGGGUUGAGGGCUGGAAAUGGUGGCCAGUAAUGAGGCUAUCAUGUUCCUUAGAUAAGGACACACCCCACAACUAGGGUUUUCACUCUGAGCCUAGUACGCCCAACGUACUAGGUGGCUUCCGCGUUCAAAUCACGCAUAUGAGUAUGAUGAGCGUACACAUGUGUAUGCCCCGCGUACUCAAUUACCACCUUUUCUCAAAUGAAGGGCCAAACUUGACAAUUGCAAUAAAACAAGGGUUUAUAAGUUAUACCUGGUCAUGGGUUGUUACACAAGGACAAGAUUUUGGUCGACCCGGCCAACAUCGAGGCUGUGAUGCAAUGGAAGGUUCCAAAAUCUCCCUCAGAGAUCAGGAGUUUCUUGGGUUUGGUAGGAUACUACCGGAGAUUUAUUCAGAAUUUUUCUUGGAUUGCGGUACCCCUCACUCAUCUAAUGAGGAAGGGGUGGAUUUUCGAUAGGGCCUCGAGCAGCAGUUGGUGUUUAAGACUCUUCGACAGAGGUUAUGCGAGGCCCUAGUGUUGACCCUCCCAGAGGGAGUCGUGGAUUUUGUAGUGUUCUGUGAUUCAUCCAUCACUGGUUUGGGAGCGGUCCUUGUGUAGAGAGAACAAGUGAUUGCUUAUGCUUCACGGCAACUGAAGUCGCACGAGACACGAUAUCCCACAUAUGAUCUGGAGUUGGGGGCAGUGAUAUUUACCUUCAAUAUUUGGAGGCAUUAUCUAUAUGGGGUCAGUUGUACUGUUUACACGGACCACAAGAGUUUGAGAUACCUCAUGGAUCAGCCGAACCUGAACAUGAGGUAGUGCAGGUGGCUGGACAUAGUCAAUGAUUAUAAAAUGUGAGAUCCUUUACCAUCUGGGUAAAGCAAAUGUGGUAACAGAUGCUUUGAGCCGCAAGUCGGUUGGGUCUUCAAUUAAGGAGAUGUGUAUGAGGAUAUAUGUUGAUUCACUACUUUUGGGAUUGAUUAUACAGGCACAAGAAGAGGGAGUUCGGAAAGAUAAUUGGAAACAGGAGCGGAUCAAGGGUGAGAUCGACAGUUUUGUCACGGAUAGUCGUGGAUUCUUAACCCAAUAUGGUCGGGUUUGGGUUUUAGUUUCUGGUGGUAUCAGGCAGAUUGUACUGGAGGAGGCUCAUAAGUCUUGCUUUUCUAUACACCUGAGAGCCACCAAGAUGUAUCAGGACUUGAGAUUGAGCUACUGGUGGUCGUGUAUGAAGAGGGAUAUAGCCUGGUAUGUUGAGAGGUGCUUGACCUGCAGGAUGGUCAAGGUCGAGCAUUAGAGGCCGCAUGGCAAGAUGCAGCCCCUGGAGUUUCCCAUGUUGAAGUGGAAUAGUUCACCAUGGAUUUCAUCACCAUGUUUCCGAAGAUAGUAAAGGGUUUUGAUGCAAUAUGAGUCAUCGUGGAUCAAUUGACCAUGAGUGUCCACUUUUUGGCCAUCCUGGGAGAGCUCUUCGGCCGAAAAGUUGGCCGACGUUUAUGUCUGGGAGAUUGUUGCUCGUCAUGGAGUUUCGAUCUCUACUGUCUCUGAACGAGAUGUACGGUUCACAUCUCCUUUUUGGCAGAAGUUCCACGAGGAACUGGGCACGAGGUUACAUUUCAGCACUACAUAUCAUCCGCAGACCUACGGUCAGUGUGAGUGGACUAUACAGACCCUUAAGGAUAUGUUGCGGGUCUGUGUUAUUGAUUUUGGUGGGAUUUGGGAUUCAUACUUACCUAUUGUGGAGUUCUCCUACAACAAUAGUUACCACUCCAGCAUCAGUGCUCCGCCAUUUGAGCUCUUGUAUAACCGGAAGUGUUGCAUCCCGGUUUGUUGGGGAGAGGUUGGACACAUAGUUAUGGGGAGGACAGAAGUAGUCCUUCAGACUACGGAGCUUAUUCAACAGAUCAGAUAGAGACUGUAGAAGAGCUAUGCCGACCGGCACAGAUCCAAGUUAGAGUUUCAAGUCGGCGAUAUGGUAUUACUAAUGGUCUCACCCUGGAAAGGCAUGGUACGCUUCAGGAAGAGGGGGAAAUUGGGUCCCGGUUUAUUGGACCCUUUCGGGUGAUUUCUAGGGUUGGAAAGGUAGCUUACAGGUUGGAAUUUUCGAGUGAGCUCAGUCAGAUCCACAGCACUUUCUAUAUCUCUUAGUUGCGGAAUUGUGUGUUGGAUAGCGAAGUGGUGGUUCUGUUGGAUGAUAUCCAGACCGAUGAGCGCCUGAACUAUGUCGAGAGGCCAGUGGCUAUCCUGUAAAGGAAGGUGAAGGUCCUGCACAACAACAAGAUACAUUUGGUAAAGGUACAGUAGCAGCAUCGGAGUGGCUCUGAGUGGACCUGGGAGUUGGAGGUUGAGAUGUGGGAGCAUUAUCCUGAGUUAUUCGAUGCAACCGACUACAAGGACGAAGUCUAGAUCAAGUGGGAGAGAAUUGUAACAUCCCGAUGAUAAGGUACUUCUACUUUGACCCUAUAAUUUAAUUAUAUUGCAUUCCUGGUCCUUAAGUGUAAGGACGUGUGAAAAAGGGCCCAUUGUGGCAAUUUGGAAAAAUUGGGAUUGAAUGAGUACGUCCUGCGUACGUGUUGAUACGCUAAGCGUACUAAGGCGCAACUUAGUACGUUAGGCGUACACUUCAUACGUGGGGCAUACGUGGUUGGCAUGCAAACCCUAGUUUUAGGGUCUUGGCUCAUAUUUAAACAUAUUUAUGGACAUAAACCCUACUCUUGCUGUAUUAGGUGUCUAAGCCCAUAACUAUAAUUAGGAUGUACUUGACCCGAUAGUAGCAUGGUCCUUUUUGGUUGCCUUCACCAGUGCAAUUUGAUAGGAUGGACUUUUUAGAAUAAGGUUAUUUGUGAUUUAUUAAUAUAUUAUAAGUAUAAUAUAUUAAUUGAGAAAUCAUAUUAUUUAAUUAGUAUUGAUCAAGAAUUAAUUUGGAAUUAAUUUAGUGAUCAAGAGAG
Molecule: long non-coding RNA, 22476 nt
Filed under: Lactuca sativa (garden lettuce)
Lineage: Eukaryota; Viridiplantae; Streptophyta; Magnoliopsida; Asterales; Asteraceae
Description: long non-coding RNA (LSAT_LNC009815)
Source: RNAcentral